AUGAGCAGCGAGCAUGAUGAAAUCAGGCAGCAAGUCGUUGAGCUUGAAGAUGGAGACGAAUCCAGCAACGCUGCUCCGGAUGAGGACUAUUCCAUCACAAAUGCACGUGGAUCUAUUCCGAAGACCGAAUUCAAAUGGAAUGAAAAAUCCGUCAGAGUCCUCUUAAUGUUGAGAUUUCAACGGGAUGAAGAGUUCAACCGACCGUCUUGUAGAAAAAUUAAGUUAUGGGAACAAGUUGCUAAAGAAAUGCAAAAAAAUGGAUUCAUUGUCAAUGGUCAUUCUUGUGAUAGUAAAUAUAGAAACCUAUUAGCCACUUACCGAAAGAAUAAAAUCAAGCAGCAGACAAGUGAUGAGUCCGUCGUCAUUUCAUGGGAGUUCUUUGAAUUCAUGGACGAACAUCUGGGCCCCAAAUUUGAUGAAACGUCUGAAUCUUUUGAGUAUGCCAUUCAAGCUACUCCCUCAGCAGUCGAAUCUGACUAUGAAGGAAGAUAUUUUUUAACUUCAGCAACGCCAUCUAAAAAACCGCGACUCAACAGUGUGCAAUACACCUCAGUGGAAGACGAAAGGAAGAUGUCUAUUCAAGAGUAUUUCUUUGAAAAGCUCCAGUUUGACAAGACUUGUUACAAGGAUGACCAGAGAAGAAAAAAUCGGAGAAUUGAACUUCAGGAGAGAAAAAUCAAGAUUGCAGAGAAACAACUUGAGUUGGAGAUAAAGAAAGUUGAAGCUUUAACAGCUCUAGCAAGUGCUAUUUCCAAUCUAAAGACUAUCGUUCCUUAAGUAGUUCCUUUCUUUUUGCUUAUUGUAUCUUGGUUUAUUUUUCUUUUUUCCCUUAUUUUUAUUUUUUAUUUUAUUUUUUUUUUUUAUGUAAAACUUUCUCUUCUCUUGCAAAAAUGUUGUUCUUUUAUACGUAAAUAUUUGAAGGUUUAAAAGAUGGGAAAGAAAAUCAAAUAUCAUUAACAAGCACGUAAAUAUCAAGAAAAUUGCUUGUAGAGAUCUCUUAAAAUUUGAUGUUGAAUGGCUCAUUGUUCACGCCGAAAACUGGCGGUAGGAGAAAUGGAAGAAUCCAUAUUAUUUUCAACGGUCAUACCCCGCUAUGAGGACAAGUUUUGAUGGGCCUAUUACCUAUAUGUGGUUUGUAAGUUAUGUCUGUUAGUACUAAUUUUUUCCUCUGCUUUGUCAACAUCCGAAGUCAUGUCUUGAAUAUGUAUAAAUAUAUAUGUAAAUACCGAAAUUCAUGUCUUGAAUAUGUAUUAAUAUAUGUCUGAAGAAUGCUAAUUCUUGAUAGUGGAGCGCUCAGGGGAAAUAUUUUAGAGCCCAGCCGUCGCGCCCCUACUUAAUGAAGUGCUAUACAUCAAAAGGGGCGUAAGGGUCGGGGGUAGCGAUCGAACACGGGGGAGAGCGCAGGUGGAAUCAUGAAAUGGCAACAUAACAGCGCCGCUCGCAAAAUACUGGUGAUAUUGGUUAGAGUGCGUUUUUCAAGCUAUAAUAAGUGCCGGCGAAAGAAAAAAACACGAAUUUUAGCUUAGAUUUCUUCAAUUUUUCUCCAAAAAAUGUUCCAUUACAAGAAUAUCGAGGAACAAUAUGAGGUCUGUUCAAUAAGAAACCGGAUUUUGGUGAUAACUAGCCCACAAUGCGCUCGAAUUAGGUUUUCCUUGACUUUCCUGACAGCUGAAAAUAUACUUAAGAACGCUACAUUCACAUAUUUGAAAAAUCUUGAUUACCUAGUUGGUACGUUGCUUGAAGUAAUGCAACCUCAUGGGUGUUCUGCGAUUUUUAUGUCUGACCGAACUUGUCUCUCUUUUUCGGUCUUGCACUUCCUUUUUCAACCCACAAGGAUGAUUGGAGUUUCGUCUCCACAUCGCAGCGAUUACGUAGCAUGGUGUCAACGAUCAUGGUGUCAACAAACAGUUUUUCUAAGUUUUUGUUGACACCAUGAUCAUCCAAAAAUAAAAAAUUCUGACUCUCAUGAAAAAUGAUCACGGUGUAAACGAUCAUGACGUCAACGAAACUUAAAACUUGCCUCAAUUACAUCUUUCAAAUUUCAAGUCUUGUUUUUCUUGUGUUAUUUACUCUAACCUAAUCUAACCUAACCUAACCCAACUUCAGUUACAAGACCUAGCCCACUUUCACAGAGCUUAACUUUCCCCGACAACUUUAGCUUUACCUACUUAAUCUAACCAAACAUGUCCUGACCAAAACUAACCUAAUCCAACUAUACGUGACCCAGACCUCUCCUGUUCACUCAAUUUUUUAAUUUUACUCAUAAGGAAGAUAUUUUUCUUUUUGUUGACACCAUGCUCAGGACCCAUUUUUGCGUUUUACUGCCUGAGCACGACGUCAACAAUCGUUGACUUUAUGAUCAGAUUUUUGGUUUGUUGACACCAUGAUCGUUGCCACCAUGCAACGUUACCAUCGCAGCCAUCCUCUCAAGUUCUGUCACCGAAAAUUAUCCUAUCUAAAAAUGUAGGAUCAUUGUUAGAACGUUCAAGAAGCAUUAUUACUCUAUAUAAAGCUGCUGUUCCCACUCACUAUACCCCCCUAGAAAAAAUUGGCCGAAGCGAUUUCCUUUAAAAUUGGUACACGCUUAGCUAUUGUAAUUAUACUAGCUAUACACUCUCGAGUGUAAUGCUAGCAUUACACUGUCAUUAUACUAAUUAAUACACUCAGGAUUACUAUCUUCACACUUCACCACUUAAUUAUAAGCGCAUUAGCUUUAUGCUAGCCAGCACAUCCCUAAAUAACAAUGCGCUGCCGCCCUUUAGAGGACGGACCCUCGGAGGUGGCGCUGGGGCCGAGGAGAGAGGGCGGGGACGCCUUACGCCCUUGUUCCGCGGUGAGACUUUCGCUGUGUUCAUUCUUGUUAACGGUACCAUGGCAGUCAUGGCACCUAUUGCCGAGAUAAUCUCGGGUAAGUAUGCCCAAGUAUAUUGAUAUGAGGCUGUGGAAAGGAGAUCGCAACUUUUAACUGCUUCUAACUUAUCAAAUAUAAAAGAAAAGUGAAAUCUCUAGAAGUAAAUCAUAAACACCUUAACAAAACCACAAAAACCAUUCAUCCGAGGCAGGCUCGGGCCCAGAGAAAACGGGAAUCGAACAUUGAGGAGCACGGCGCCAUCUGGUGGCCGUGACUGGUAAACACUCGUCACACAGUUAUACACUCAUUAGUGUAAACCAGUUAUACACUCAGCAGUAUAAAGCUGAAAAAAUUCUUGUUUCCGUAUCGAUGUCAUUUGAUGUCAAUUGUAUACUCAAGAAAUAAUGCAAUGAUCAUUCGUACAUUACAGAGUGCUAUUAUAAUUUAGAUGAGGAUUAAAGUUAAGUCCUAUAAUGAGAUAAAUUUCGUGUUUUAUUGCCAUGUUUGUGAACGCUGAUGUUUUCUAAAUACAUGGAAUUUUAAAUUGUUAAUUGUUCUGUUCACAAUGCCUUUUUUCCAAUGAGAAAAUAUAUAAAACAUAAAACACUUCUUCACUUCAUAUUUUUGCUAACAAUUAUAUUUAAAAGAAAAUGGUAGAGUGUUGGUCUCACUGACAGUUUCUUUAAUUUGAGGAUUACAUACAUUCUUGCGAAGAAAUCAUUUUCUUAACAUCCUUGUACAAUGAGCCUUUGCUUUUUUAGUUUUAUUUUAUGCCCAUUUUUUUAACGCUUCAGCAUUCUCCUUAGCAGUAACAGAAAAAUAAAAAAGUAAUUUUAGUGAAAGCACUAAUUUUUCCUGAAAUUUCAGGAUGAACUUGAAUUUACAGGUGUCAUUGCAAGAUUUGAAAAAUACCAACCUAUAUAGGUACCUACUUGACUUCCUCAAUAAAUCUAAUCAGUGUCAUUAUCAUUGACUUUCUCAAUAAUUCUGGGAAAUUAUUAUUAAUUUUCCAUCUUCCUGUACAUAUAUACUUCAUUUCCUUUCGUAUAGUUUGGAAAAUCGCAUUUGGCAACCGAUAAGACAUACUUAGUCCAUAUGGAUGAGCUUAUACUCUAUAGUCCGUUGACUACGACCCAAAAAUGGCAAAAACCCUGCAAAUUUUUGAUUGGAAUAUGCCACUUUCAGGGCUCAUUGGUGGUACCCUCAGGAGUAUAAUUCUGGAAGGAGCAACACUCUGAGACCCGCGACUGGAGAUUGCGACCGUUAAAGUCCGCCAUUUUGGUUUUUUUCAAAGCGCUGUCCUUCGGUUGCUAUUGAUCCGAUUUUGAUCCACUUUUUUUUAAUGAAAGGUAAUCUCCAGGAAAACAAUUUUAUUUCUCAAUAAUUUUCCCGUUAGGCCUAAAUUUUUUUUCUAAAUUGGGAAAAACUAAAAUUUUUCAAUUUUUUGGAAAUUUCAAGGUCAAAUAACUUUUCGACGGGCUAUAAAAUUGAUAUUUUGCCCCUUCGGAUGGAUUCGUAGAAUUGCCUGACCUUUAAUUUGAUACCAAAACGAUUUUUGUGCGAUAAUAAAUAAGCGCGUGAGAGCAAUGUAAGUGUUGCGCACUUCGCGCCGUGGGACCCGUUUCGGCGCUCUAGACGGUCGACGCUACCCUUCAAUGCGCUGUAUCUCGGCUGCUGUGCAAUCAAUUUUAAUCAGUUUUUUUUAUAAGCAGUUAUACUCAUGGAAAACUAGCUCCUUAAACAAC
This 4596-nucleotide long non-coding RNA is filed under the name Bemisia tabaci. RNAcentral describes it as "lncRNA ENSSSA2NGG009626". The record is from RNAcentral. Lineage: Eukaryota; Metazoa; Arthropoda; Insecta; Hemiptera; Aleyrodidae.